GGUUAAGCGACUAAGCGUACACGGUGGAUGCCCUGGCAGUCAGAGGCGAUGAAGGACGUGCUAAUCUGCGAUAAGCGUCGGUGAGGUGAUAUGAACCGUUAUAACCGGCGAUUUCCGAAUGGGGAAACCCAGUGUGUUUCGACACACUAUCAUUAACUGAAUCCAUAGGUUAAUGAGGCGAACCGGGGGAACUGAAACAUCUAAGUACCCCGAGGAAAAGAAAUCAACCGAGAUUCCCCCAGUAGCGGCGAGCGAACGGGGAGGAGCCCAGAGCCUGAAUCAGUGUGUGUGUUAGUGGAAGCGUCUGGAAAGGCGUGCGAUACAGGGUGACAGCCCCGUACACAAAAAUGCACAUAUUGUGAGCUCGAUGAGUAGGGCGGGACACGUGG
RNAcentral lists this ribosomal RNA (389 nucleotides) under Escherichia coli. RNAcentral describes it as "partial 23S ribosomal RNA". It matches the Rfam family "Bacterial large subunit ribosomal RNA", at positions 1 to 429 of the family's 2925-position model. Lineage: Bacteria; Pseudomonadati; Pseudomonadota; Gammaproteobacteria; Enterobacterales; Enterobacteriaceae. The record is from RNAcentral.